GAUUUCUGUCUGGUGCCUUUGGGUCGCCUUACGAAGAGUGGCUGACUUCGGUUAGUCAUUCUUUUAUGAGGUGUGUUCCGAGGUUAAGCAGGAGAGUUUGUUUGUUUGUUGAGCACUCAUUUUUGGGUGUCUUAGCAAGCCGCUUUCUUGUCUUUUGCACCAGUCAUCCUUUCCGGGGUAAGUUCUUUCAUUCGUGGAAGGAUUUACUUUUAUAAUUUCCCGGAUCAUUUACUUUGAAAAAAUUAGAGUGUUUCAAGCAGGCAUAUCGCUAUGAAUACAUUAGCAUGGAAUAAUAAGAUAGGACUUUGGUUCUAUUUUGUUGGUUUCUAGGACUAAAGUAAUGAUUGAUAGGGACAGUUGGGGGUGCUAGUAUUUAACGGCCAGAGGUGAAAUUCUUGGAUUCGUUAAAGACUAACUUAUGCGAAAGCAUU
This 431-nucleotide ribosomal RNA is filed under the name uncultured Tremula. RNAcentral's name for it is "bacterial SSU rRNA". The stretch from base 219 to 431 matches the Rfam family "Eukaryotic small subunit ribosomal RNA", at positions 742 to 955 of the family's 1831-position model. Lineage: Eukaryota; Cercozoa. The record is from RNAcentral.